RNAcentral lists this long non-coding RNA (231 nucleotides) under Chinchilla lanigera (long-tailed chinchilla). Its description in RNAcentral is "lncRNA (ENSCLAG00000025662.1)". The record is from RNAcentral. Lineage: Eukaryota; Metazoa; Chordata; Mammalia; Rodentia; Chinchillidae.
CCCCUUUGGGCCUGCAACAUCAUCUCCUCCUUCCUGUUUCUGCAGUUCUUAUGAGGAACAAGCAAGGUACUGGUGUGACUGUGACAUAGCUCCUUAGCCCUGCUUGUGGGAAUGUACUGUAGAAGGAACACAGGAAUGAAAGCAGAGGUUGAGAAGGCAUCCGCGAUGCGUCAGGCUGGAGGGAGAAUGUGAGAGUUAUGACUGCAUGCUGUGAGCUUUCAGCCGCCGCAU